UCUCCGUUAGUGAACCAGCGGAGGGAUCAUUACCGAGUUUACAACUCCCAAACCCCUAUGUGAACGUUACCAACCUGUGGCCUCGGCGGGAAAUUCAUGCCCCGGGCGCGUCGCAGCCCCGGACCACGGCGCCCGCCCGAGGACCAACCAAAACUCUUUUGUAUGUCCCUCGCGGACUUUUAUAAUUCUGAACCAUCUCGGCGCCCCUAGCGGGCGUUUCGAAAAUGAAUCAAAACUUUCAACAACGGAUCUCUUGGUUCUG
RNAcentral lists this unclassified non-coding RNA (262 nucleotides) under plant metagenome. RNAcentral describes it as "partial contains small subunit ribosomal RNA, internal transcribed spacer 1, and 5.8S ribosomal RNA". The record is from RNAcentral.